GAUGUUGCUGUGUGUGCGUGUGUGUGUGUGUGUGUGUGUGUGUGUGUGUGUGAUAAAUAAGCAAAAUUGUUUUCCUGGGACUCCAUCCAGGAACAUUAGAUAUGGGGUCCAGCCCCAGCGCACAGGAAACCCUGCUCAGGCAGAUGGUGUGGGAGAGCGAGGUUGUGCUUUGAUGCAUGGGGUAGAGGAACCCUAGGAGGCACUGAGACCUCGGUGGCUGUCCCAGGCUCUGUCCUCCCUGCAUAUGGCCUCAGGCAGCUCAAGGCUUAGCUUCCCACUGGCCUCCUCCCUCCCGGACACUCACGCAUUUCAGGUCUGACGGGUACCCGCCACCCAAUCCCUCUUUCUUUUGACGGGUACCCGCCACCCAAUCCCUCUUUCUUCUGAUGUCGACAGGAUCAAGCACAAGCCUCCUUGGCAGGGAUGAGGGGUCCUCAGGUCUGGCUGGGCCCACCUGGCUGCUUCCUGGUCUCUACCACAUGCCCCAGCCUCACCCCACGGCCCGCCCAGCACCCGCCAGGCAUGCAGUGGCCCCUCUCUUCUCCUCGACAACUGCGUGCUGUUCCCGGCAGACCCUUGCGUUUCCUGUUCUCUGCCUGGAAAGCCAUGUCUUGUUCUCCACGCCCAGUUCUGAUGUCACCUUUCUCACACCCAGGAGUCCUCUGUGACCUGGGAGGGGGCCCACUCCCCCUACCCUCAGCGCUGGGCACUGGCUUGUGAUGGUCUCCUGGCCACAUGGGGAGCUCCUCGAGGGCAAGGCCUGGGAACAUCUGGAGUCAGUGAACACAGCAGGAAGGGGGGAUGGUCAAGCGCACCACAGGCUUGGAAGCAGACACGCCCAGUUCAAGCCCCACUCCAGCCCUCCUCAAGUGGGUCACUCCUCACGGCCUGUGAGUUCACCUCUUCAUCUGAGCUCGCUUCAGAUGACGCCCCCAGUGCCAGCAUAUCAUCCAAACGCCUACUUCCCACUUCUGGGAACUUCUCGCUCCCAGAUUCAGAAACUGUCCUGGGGCACCAGCAGGUGGGUGCGCAGGUACACGUGAGUCCAGGCUUCCCAGAGGUACGGGCUGCCACCCUUCAGGCCGUGGCCUGGGUCAGGCGCUGUGGAGAGUGGAGCAGGAUGAGACCAGCUGCUGUCCUGGAGGGGCUCAGGGCUGGGCCAGGUGGCAGGACCUGGGAGGCACCCAGGAGAGCUGCUCUAAGGGAGACGUUGUGUGCACUGCGGAAAUGCACGGGGCCAGUGGCGCAUGGAGGGGCAGGGAAGGACUGAUCAGAAAGGCUGUGUGUGAGCAGAGCCUUGAAGGGAGGGAGGAUUUUGAUGCGUCGAAAGGGCAGGCAAGAAACAGCUCUGGGAAGAGCUCAGUCUGUCUGGAUCAACUUGUUUUGUCUAGAACUUUCCAUGUGUGAAAGGCAACAUGGGAAAUAAAUUCCUCAUGGCUAGGACAUGGGUUAAGGGGGAGGAAUACCAUGGGCUGGGCAGGGAGGAGCUACCAUAGUGUUUCUAAAGAAGACUUUAUGGUUUCAAAGCAGUCUUAGGCUCACAGCAAAAUAGAGUGGAAAGUGCAGAGAGUUCCCAUAUCCCCUCAGCCCACAAACGCACAGCCUCCCCCAUGAUCAGCAUCCCCACCAGAGGGUACGUCUGUCGGCUGAUGAACCCACACUGACGAGUCAUCACCCACAUUCCAUAGUGUACGUUAGGGUUCACUCUUGGUAGCAUACAUCCUGUGGGUUUGGACGACUGUGUAAUGACACGUAGCCACCGCUAUAGUAUCACACGGAGUAGUUCCACUGCCCUAAAAGUAGUCUAAGCUCCAUCCAUAUACCUCUCCCUCCCCACACCAUAGUGACUUGAGCAGGGGAAGAGUGGGGCCAAGCCUGGCCUCCAGAAGCCAUCGGCCUCCAGAAGCCGUCAGCCUCCAGAAGCCGUCAGCCUCCAGUCCAGAGUGGCACAGCCAGCAAGCUUCACAGCGACUUCCUUCCAGGAGGACCAGGUGCAGCUAGCACUGCUGCAAGCCAAGUAGGACACCAACCCCUUUUUAUUGUUCCUGGGCUAUAAGGUCACGGACUUGCUUUCCCCCUCCUGACUGAUUCCUGCUGGCUCCAGGGCAGAUAUGCCCACGUCCCUGCACCCCGAGGGCUGCUCCUCAUGGCAGCAAAGCCCAGCCAGGGCAGCCUGAGAUGGGGUUGGGGGAGACAAGGAAAUGAAUGACUGCUCAGUGUGUGUGCCCCUUCAAGGUUUAGCAAGCUCCCCGCACACCCACCUUCUUGACCCAGCCAGAGGUGAGGACCUUAGGCUGCAUCCGUCGGCCCCUUCUGCCCUGGGGUGGGAGGCCGAAGCUAUUCAGUGCGGGUCAGGAGGGACAGCAUCAGUCAUGUGAGCACAGCUAGGCAGGCCUCAGGGAGGCUGGCUUGGUAGGUGUGUAUCUUGUCCUGUCCAGGGGAGACGAACAGGUCUGGGGCCCUAAACACCUUGACCCCUGGAGAGAUGAAGUGUUCCCCCCCACACCACCCUCCUGUCCUUGUUCAGACUCCUCUGGCUCCAAUUCCAGCUCCCAGGAAACUUCACACCUCGAGAGGAUGUGACCUGGGUUAAGGUGAUGGCCUUCUGGAAACUGGAAGAGAACACCCCUCCAUGGCAGGUAACAAGAGACGCUUCAUCUUCAAGUCUUUUCUUCUGUCCAGAAAGCACUCAGAGAAAUUACAAUAAUAAAGUUAGUCCAUUAUA
This 2725-nucleotide long non-coding RNA is filed under the name Homo sapiens (human). Its description in RNAcentral is "HSALNT0331343". The record is from RNAcentral. Lineage: Eukaryota; Metazoa; Chordata; Mammalia; Primates; Hominidae.